RNAcentral lists this ribosomal RNA (253 nucleotides) under uncultured bacterium. RNAcentral's name for it is "partial 16S ribosomal RNA". It matches the Rfam family "Bacterial small subunit ribosomal RNA", at positions 524 to 776 of the family's 1533-position model. The record is from RNAcentral.
UACGUAGGGGGCUAGCGUUGUCCGGAAUCAUUGGGCGUAAAGCGCGUGUAGGCGGUCCGGUAAGUCCGCUGUGAAAGUCGGGGGCUCAACCCUCGGAUGCCGGUGGAUACUGUCGGGCUGGAGUCCGGAAGAGGCGAGUGGAAUUCCUGGUGUAGCGGUGAAAUGCGCAGAUAUCAGGAGGAACACCAAUGGCGAAGGCAGCUCGCUGGGACGGUACUGACGCUGAGACGCGAAAGCGUGGGGAGCAAACAGG